CCUACGGGAGGCAGCAGUGGGGAAUAUUGGACAAUGGGCGAAAGCCUGAUCCAGCCAUGCCGCGUGUGUGAAGAAGGUCUUCGGAUUGUAAAGCACUUUAAGUUGGGAGGAAGGGCUGUCGGUUAAUACCCUGCAGUUUUGACGUUACCAACAGAAUAAGCACCGGCUAACUUCGUGCCAGCAGCCGCGGUAAU
Molecule: ribosomal RNA, 194 nt
Filed under: uncultured bacterium
Lineage: Bacteria
Description: partial 16S ribosomal RNA
Rfam family: Bacterial small subunit ribosomal RNA
Source: RNAcentral